Molecule: long non-coding RNA, 260 nt
Filed under: Bos taurus (domestic cattle)
Lineage: Eukaryota; Metazoa; Chordata; Mammalia; Artiodactyla; Bovidae
Description: long non-coding RNA NONBTAT023790
Source: RNAcentral
AUUAACGUAAGAUCUUUUCCAGUCUCACUUUUCAAUUUCUAAACACCUCUAAUGAAGAAAAAUUCGCAGGUAAGAGAAAACAUUUCUUAUAAUUCCAAUAAUAAUCUGGUAAUUUUUGAGGCUGAAAAUGAGCCAUUCUUUACGUAAGCUGUAAAGGGACUGUGACAUGAAGCCUUUCAAGUUCAAGGGACCAUGUGAAGUAGGCCAAGAGUUAGGCAUCUGGGAAGAGAGGAGACUGGGGCACCAUGUCAGAUACACGU